GGUCAGUUCGCGGAGUCAGAGAAGGAAAAUAGUCAGACAUUCCAGUGAUGGACCCUUGGCACUUGGUGUCCCCUGAAUCCUGGCUCCAGCUCUAAACUGUGGCAGGCACUAGUUCCACCUCACGAUGAGACAACUGGUAGAGGCCCUAGGCGCAGAACCAGUUCUCUGGUUCCCAAGAUCAAAAAAGAUGAAAAAUUCCCUCCUUGAACAAGCCACUGCAUUCAGACCAGCCACCUGACUCCUGAACUGCACAAAGUUACAGGUUCCAGAUGCUAUCAUGUUGCCAACCUGACUUCCUUGGGCAGACAACCCCACCAUGUAUCUUGGAGCCCCACCUCCCCAGAGCCCUGCCCCACUAGGGAAAGAGAGAGACAGGCUGGGCGUAUGGAUAGACCUGCCAACACCCAUGUUCAGUGGGGAAACAGUUACAGAAGCCAGACCUUCCACCUUCUGCAUCCCAUAAUGACCUUGGGCCAAUACUCCCAGAGGGAUAAAGAAUAGGAAAGCUAUCAGGGGAGAGGACUGGAUACGGAGCUUUGGGGGUGGGCUUUGUGUGGAAAUGUACCCCUCUUAUCCUGUG
Long non-coding RNA from Erinaceus europaeus (western European hedgehog), 580 nucleotides. RefSeq lists it as uncharacterized. Lineage: Eukaryota; Metazoa; Chordata; Mammalia; Eulipotyphla; Erinaceidae. The record is from RefSeq and is a predicted model, not a curated record. The transcript is spliced from 3 exons.